GGGGAUGAUCGGUUUCGACGUGAAAUGUUCUUUAAAAUCUGCAAGCUGAGUUUGACUCAAACUCGUAUAAAAGGGGUCAAUAAAAUAAAAGCAAAUAGAAAUAAAUUUGCUCCGGCUUUGGCAUACGCCUAAGCUGGUGUCCACAAGACUCGCUUCUUGGCCGAACUUGUAGGGCAUAAACCAGUCAAGAUGCGGAAGGUAUGAAUGGUUUUGCAUACUUUCUUAAGAAUUAAAACCAAGCUCUCAACUUUUUCUUUAGUUUUAAGGUUGAGAAUUAAAUAUUUAAGCUAAAUAAGCUUGUAGAAGAUUUUAAAUUCGUUUUNNNNNNNNNNNNNNGAUUCCCGCCAUCUCCACCA
RNAcentral lists this transfer-messenger RNA (356 nucleotides) under Candidatus Woesebacteria bacterium RIFCSPLOWO2_01_FULL_39_14. It matches the Rfam family "transfer-messenger RNA". Rfam says of the family: Bacterial tmRNA, also known as 10Sa RNA or SsrA, is named for its dual tRNA and mRNA-like properties. Its role is to liberate the mRNA from a stalled ribosome. The record is from RNAcentral. Lineage: Bacteria; Candidatus Woeseibacteriota.